RNAcentral lists this ribosomal RNA (229 nucleotides) under uncultured bacterium. RNAcentral describes it as "partial 16S ribosomal RNA". It matches the Rfam family "Bacterial small subunit ribosomal RNA", at positions 568 to 796 of the family's 1533-position model. The record is from RNAcentral.
UACGUAGGCGGAAAAUUAAGUCAGUAGUGAAAUCCUGCAGCUUAACUGUAGAACUGUUAUUGAUACUGGUUUUCUUGAAUAUAGUUGAGGUAGGCGGAAUGUGUAAUGUAGCGGUGAAAUGCUUAGAUAUUACACAGAACACCGAUUGCGAAGGCAGCUUACUAAGCUAUGAUUGACGCUGAGGUACGAAAGCGUGGGGAGCGAACAGGAUUAGAUACCCUGGUAGUCC